RNAcentral lists this transfer RNA (77 nucleotides) under Staphylococcus aureus subsp. aureus Mu3. RNAcentral's name for it is "tRNA-Asn". It matches the Rfam family "tRNA". From Rfam's summary of the family: Transfer RNA (tRNA) molecules are approximately 80 nucleotides in length. Their secondary structure includes four short double-helical elements and three loops (D, anti-codon, and T loops). The record is from RNAcentral. Lineage: Bacteria; Bacillati; Bacillota; Bacilli; Caryophanales; Staphylococcaceae.
UUCCACAGUAGCUCAGUGGUAGAGCUAUCGGCUGUUAACCGAUCGGUCGUAGGUUCGAGUCCUACCUGUGGAGCCAU